UGGGGAUGACGUCAAGUCCUCAUGGCCCUUAUGGUAGGGCUUCACACGUCAUACAAUGGUCGGUACAGAGGGUUGCCAACCCGCGAGGGGGAGCUAAUCCCACAAAGCCGAUCGUAGUCCGGAUCGCAGUCUGCAACUCGACUGCGUGAAGUCGGAAUCGCUAGUAAUCGUGGAUCAGCAUGUCACGGUGAAUACGUUCCCGGGUCUU
This 208-nucleotide ribosomal RNA is filed under the name uncultured Rhodocyclaceae bacterium. RNAcentral describes it as "partial 16S ribosomal RNA". It matches the Rfam family "Bacterial small subunit ribosomal RNA", at positions 1174 to 1382 of the family's 1533-position model. Lineage: Bacteria; Pseudomonadati; Pseudomonadota; Betaproteobacteria; Rhodocyclales; Rhodocyclaceae. The record is from RNAcentral.